Molecule: long non-coding RNA, 336 nt
Filed under: Chinchilla lanigera (long-tailed chinchilla)
Lineage: Eukaryota; Metazoa; Chordata; Mammalia; Rodentia; Chinchillidae
Description: lncRNA (ENSCLAG00000026472.1)
Source: RNAcentral
AGUUUGAGUCGAUGUGCCAGGAAACAUGCACUACCCCGGUGCAUCUCACUAAUAAAAAUGGGCCAGCCGGAGAUUGUGGAGCCAGUCCUCCGGAGGUGAACUCCUCCAGGCUACACAAUGUCCCAAGAGGAGUGAUUAUGAGAAAACUAUCAAUCACUGCGUUAAUAACACCCUUCUGAAGGAACUAACGAGAAAGCAAAUUGGAAGGUGAAAUUUUAUCUUUGUUUUCAAAUAAGUGGUCUUGAUUUUUCUUCUUAUAGAAAAAAUUUAAACGGUUACUAUAUAUACAUGUAUAUGCGUAUAUAGAGAGUUAAUUUGUGCAACUUUCAAAUAAAA